GCAAACUUGGUCAUUUAGAGGAAGUAAAAGUCGUAACAAGGUUUCCGUAGGUGAACCUGCGGAAGGAUCAUUACUGAAAGAAAAAAAUAUAUAUUAUUUUUUCUUUUGUAUUCACCCUUUGUUGAUUGAAUCCAUAUCAUUUUUUCUUCCACUGGACAGGUUGUUCGUUAAAUGGAGCUGCCCUCAGGCUUGAGAAUAUAUAUACAUAUAUUUUUUUGCCAGGGAGUGCCGGUGGUAAGACUACAAAAUCAAAAAAAUUUGCUGAGAACAAUAUCUGUCUGAAUACAAACUUUUAAUGAAAAUUAAAACUUUCAACAACGGAUCUCUAGGCUCUUGCAUCGAUGAAGAACGCAGC
Molecule: unclassified non-coding RNA, 355 nt
Filed under: uncultured fungus
Lineage: Eukaryota; Fungi
Description: partial contains small subunit ribosomal RNA, internal transcribed spacer 1, and 5.8S ribosomal RNA
Rfam family: Eukaryotic small subunit ribosomal RNA (bases 1-73)
Source: RNAcentral